This 253-nucleotide ribosomal RNA is filed under the name uncultured bacterium. Its description in RNAcentral is "partial 16S ribosomal RNA". It matches the Rfam family "Bacterial small subunit ribosomal RNA", at positions 524 to 776 of the family's 1533-position model. The record is from RNAcentral.
UACGAAGGGGGCUAGCGUUGCUCGGAAUCACUGGGCGUAAAGGGUGCGUAGGCGGGCUUUUAAGUCAGGGGUGAAAUCCUGGGGCUCAACUCCAGAACUGCCUUUGAUACUGAAGAUCUUGAGUUCGGGAGAGGUGAGUGGAACUGCGAGUGUAGAGGUGAAAUUCGUAGAUAUUCGCAAGAACACCAGUGGCGAAGGCGGCUCACUGGCCCGAUACUGACGCUGAGGCGCGAAAGCGUGGGGAGCAAACAGG